GGAGUCGGCCAGGCAGUCGCCGUGCCGCGGCCAUGCCGCUCGGCGCGGAGGAAAGUCCGGGCUCCAAAGGGCAGGGUGCCAGGUAACACCUGGGGGGCGCGAGCCCACGGAAAGUGCCACAGAAAAGAUACCGCCACGCCAGCAAUGGCGCGGUAAGGGUGAAAUGGUGCGGUAAGAGCGCACCGCGCCGCUGGUAACAGCGGCGGCAGGGUAAACCCCACCCGGAGCAAGACCAAAUAGGGGAGCAUAGUGUGGCCCGCACGGCUCCCGGGUAGGUCGCGUGAGGUGUGCGGCGACGUACAUCCCAGAUGAAUGGCUGCCCACGACAGAACCCGGCUUAUCGGCCGGCUCCCAUC
This 356-nucleotide RNase P RNA is filed under the name Gammaproteobacteria bacterium. RNAcentral describes it as "RNase P RNA component class A". It matches the Rfam family "Bacterial RNase P class A". Rfam says of the family: Ribonuclease P (RNase P) is a ubiquitous endoribonuclease, found in archaea, bacteria and eukarya as well as chloroplasts and mitochondria. Its best characterised activity is the generation of mature 5'-ends of tRNAs by cleaving the 5'-leader elements of precursor-tRNAs. The record is from RNAcentral. Lineage: Bacteria; Pseudomonadati; Pseudomonadota; Gammaproteobacteria.